UGAUGCGUUCACCCAAUAGCCAGGACAAGAGGGACGUCAUGGAACAAGCUUACCAAACUGAUCACCUCUGUGAAUCAGCCCUUGACUGCAAUACCGGAGUACAGAGCGCUCAAAACUUGGUCAACAUCUCCAUGAAGACACAGUUUUUACAAUGGAUU
Molecule: long non-coding RNA, 158 nt
Organism: Tupaia belangeri chinensis (Chinese tree shrew)
Lineage: Eukaryota; Metazoa; Chordata; Mammalia; Scandentia; Tupaiidae
Exons: 3
Source: RefSeq, a predicted model, not a curated record